Molecule: long non-coding RNA, 666 nt
Organism: Schistocerca serialis cubense
Lineage: Eukaryota; Metazoa; Arthropoda; Insecta; Orthoptera; Acrididae
Exons: 4
Source: RefSeq, a predicted model, not a curated record
UCAGUUUGGAUAACUUUUGUUAGAAAACCAGAUUGCGAUGAGAUUUGCGUUUAUUCAGAGUGGUCGCAUGCGUCCCGUGCGGGUAUUCGGUCGUGAUAACUGAUUGUUGAGUUAUCAGUCACGGCCUUUGUACAUAACGUUGAGGCUCGUUUGUGGAUUGCAUGUUAGGAGUGCUGUUUACAGAGAUAUAUAUCUUCUACAUCCUGAAGUGGAAUUUAUGUAUGAUUUGGUAGUAAUGUGUCAGCAGCAGGAGCAGCAAAGAUCAACCACUGUCCACAGGCAGAAUAAAAUGAAGAUGACCCAUAUUGUAAUUGCAACAGACCCCUGAUAAUACAGUGGAACAGCAACUGUCUACACCAUCACUGCAGCAGCAGCACCAAACAUUCGGCCUAAGAUUUACUGCUCCUAGACUUCAGGUCUACACCACUGCAGCAGCACACAGUUGACCUACCUGAUUUAUUGGGUCAGCCUUUCCUCAACUUUGAGAUAACACCGUAGCAGCAGCAGUGGCACAUUGAUGAUAUGUUGGAGGAGGAUAUAAAAGAACUCUUCUUCCAGCACUUUGAGUUCCCACUAUCACCAUCAUCAGCACAGUUCAUCAGGUGGUUAUCAUGGCACACUUUGCCUAUUAGAGUGAUGUUAUUUUCUGUAGUGUUAUAACUUUGC